UUGUCUUUGAGAGUUUCAACGAUCCAUGUAUUUGGUUACUUAGGUUAGUGAGCUCCAUCGGGGUUUUACAUUCUCCCUUUGGGGGCUUGUAUUCCUGUGUGUGGCUAAUACUAUGUUCUUGGGAGAGUUGUUAGAGCUUAAGUGUGCUUUGAAUAGGUGGUUUGCGCUUCUUAGAUCCCCCCUCAUGUUUUUUCCACCUCUUUUUCCUUUGGUCCAUCUUCUCUUCACUUCAGCCUUUUCACUUGAUGAUCUUUUCUCUAUUCCUCUUUUCUGUCCCGAUUCUCCUUUGAUCUGACUUUUAGAUCUUAUUUUUUGGUUACUAGUUGCUUCUUGCUAUAUUCCUAUAGGUGGUCAUGCUAUUCUUGUUUUUCUUUUGUGCGCCGCCCUAAGCUUGGCCUGCGCAGAAGGGAAUGUGUUUUAUAGGGGUCUUUGUGAGAAGCUUGGGUUGCACAGGUACAGGUACACGUUAUUGUGAGGGAUGCCUUUAGAAGUUGCUUUAUUUGGUUCAGCAGGGGUCUUUUGGCAUUUGGUGGUGUAGGAUCUUUGAGGUUAUGUUUUUUUUUGUGUUUG
This 570-nucleotide long non-coding RNA is filed under the name Amborella trichopoda. Its description in RNAcentral is "long non-coding RNA (ATRI_LNC001740)". The record is from RNAcentral. Lineage: Eukaryota; Viridiplantae; Streptophyta; Magnoliopsida; Amborellales; Amborellaceae.